GACGAACGCUGGCGGCGUGCUUAACACAUGCAAGUCGAACGGAAAGGCCCUGCUUGCGGGGUACUCUAGUGGCGAAAGGGUGUGUAACACGUGGGUGUUAUCCGCUGCACUUCUUGGUAUGACUUCGAAACUGUGUCUAAUACCGCAUAGGAGCCCUUCUUCGUGAUGGUGGUGGAUGGAUUUUUCGGUGUAGGGUGAGCGCGCGGGCUGUCUGCUUGUUUGUGGGGUGAUGGCCUACCAAGGCGGCGACGGGUAGCCGGCCUGGGAGGGUGGACGGCCAAAUUGGGGCUGGGAUACGGCCCAGACUCCUACGGGGGGCAGGAGGGGGGAAUAUUGCACAAUGGGGGUAAGCCUGAUGCAAGGACGCCGGGUGGGGGAUGACGGGCUUCGGGUUGUAAACUCCUUUCGCUAGGGAAGAAGCUGUUUGUGACGGUACCGAGAUAAGAAGCACCGGCUAACUACGUG
Molecule: ribosomal RNA, 465 nt
Filed under: uncultured bacterium
Lineage: Bacteria
Description: partial 16S ribosomal RNA
Rfam family: Bacterial small subunit ribosomal RNA
Source: RNAcentral